RNAcentral lists this ribosomal RNA (260 nucleotides) under uncultured bacterium. RNAcentral's name for it is "partial 16S ribosomal RNA". It matches the Rfam family "Bacterial small subunit ribosomal RNA", at positions 1244 to 1500 of the family's 1533-position model. The record is from RNAcentral.
UAGCAGCGAGCUAGCAAUAGUAAGCGAAUCNCAAAAAAGUAAGUCUCAGUUCGGAUUNUGGGCUGCAACCCGCCCACAUGAAGUCGGAGUUGCUAGUAAUCCCGAAUCAGCAUGUCGGGGUGAAUGCGUUCCCGGGUCUUGUACACACCGCCCGUCACGCCAUGGGAGUUGGCAACGCCCGAAGUCAGUGACCCAACCUUAACAGGAGGGAGCUGCCGAAGGCGGGGCUGAUAACUGGGGUGAAGUCGUAACAAGGUAAC